GUGCACCAGGCGCGAAAACUUUACAAUGCGGGAAACCGUGAUAAGGGAACCUCGAGUGCUGGCGCAUAGCGUCGGCUGUCCAGAUGCCUAAAAAGCAUCUGAUAGCAAGGGCCGGGCAAGACCGGUGCCAGCCGCCGCGGUAAACACCGGCGGCUCGAGUGGUGGCCACGUUUUAUUGGGUCUAAAAGCGUCCGUAGCCGGCUCGGCAAGUCCCCUGGGAAAAUCUGGCGGCUCAACCGUCAGGCGUCCAGAGGAUACUGCUGGGCUUGGGACCGGGAGAGGUGAGAGGUACCUCAGGGGUAGGGGUGAAAUCUUGUGACCCCUGAGGGACCACCAGUGGCGAAGGCGUCUCACUAGAACGGGUCCGACGGUCAGGGACGAAAAGCUAGGGGCACGAA
RNAcentral lists this ribosomal RNA (398 nucleotides) under uncultured microorganism. RNAcentral describes it as "bacterial SSU rRNA". It matches the Rfam family "Archaeal small subunit ribosomal RNA", at positions 330 to 723 of the family's 1478-position model. The record is from RNAcentral.